UACGGAGGGGGCUAGCGUUGUUCGGAAUUACUGGGCGUAAAGCGCACGUAGGCGGCUUUGCAAGUCAGAGGUGAAAGCCCGGGGCUCAACCCCGGAAUUGCCUUUGAGACUGCAUCGCUAGAAUUGUGGAGAGGUAAGUGGAAUUCCGAGUGUAGAGGUGAAAUUCGUAGAUAUUCGGAAGAACACCAGUGGCGAAGGUGACUUACUGGACACAUAUUGACGCUGAGGUGCGAAAGCGUGGGGAGCAAACAGG
This 253-nucleotide ribosomal RNA is filed under the name uncultured bacterium. RNAcentral describes it as "partial 16S ribosomal RNA". It matches the Rfam family "Bacterial small subunit ribosomal RNA", at positions 524 to 776 of the family's 1533-position model. The record is from RNAcentral.